GCCUCGGUGGUGCAGUGGUAGAAUGCUCGCCUACCACGUGAGCGACCCGGGUUUGAAUCGUCCGCCGAUACA
This is a non-coding RNA of Henosepilachna vigintioctopunctata, 72 nucleotides long. NCBI's taxonomy places the organism in Eukaryota, Metazoa, Arthropoda, Insecta, Coleoptera, Coccinellidae. The record is from the annotation of a GenBank genome assembly.